This 205-nucleotide long non-coding RNA is filed under the name Mytilus galloprovincialis (Mediterranean mussel). The record is from RNAcentral. Lineage: Eukaryota; Metazoa; Mollusca; Bivalvia; Mytilida; Mytilidae.
GCAUAUACAUUGAAGUAAACAUAAAAUAAGCAGUAAAUUAAUGAAAUACGACGUACAUUUUGUUGUAUCUGAUUCUAAGUAAACAAUUAACCCAAGGUGACGAGUGAGCAUCAAGUUUAAAAGGAAAUGAAAUCUUUAAACCGCGCUGGCGUUUUCAAUUCGGAGCGCUUACGGAGAACGCGCUUAUUAUCUUGUUCAGUGCUCG